UAUGGUCAAAUCACGCUGAAACACCGGUUCUUGUUCGAUCACCGAAGUUAAGCAUCGUAGAGCCAGGUCAGUACUUAGAUGGGGACCGCUUGGGGAACACACCUGGUACUGUAAG
This is a non-coding RNA of Acanthosepion pharaonis, 115 nucleotides long. The record is from the annotation of a GenBank genome assembly. NCBI's taxonomy places the organism in Eukaryota, Metazoa, Mollusca, Cephalopoda, Sepiida, Sepiidae.